GACGAACGCUGGCGGCGUGCUUAACACAUGCAAGUCGUACGGUAAGGCCCUUUCGGGGGUUCACGAGUGGCGAACGGGUGAGUAACACGUGAGUAACCUGCCCACAACUUUGGGAUAACGCUAGGAAACUGGUGCUAAUACUGGAUAUGUGCUCCUGCUUCAUGGUGGUGGUUGGAAAGCUCCGGCGGGUGUGGAUGGACUCGCGGCCUAUCAGCUUGUUGGUGGGGUAGUGGCCUACCAAGGCGGCGACGGGUAGCCGGCCUGAGAGGGUGACCGGCCACAGUGGGACUGAGAGAAGGCACAGACACGGACGGGAGGCAGCAGGGGGGAAUAUUGCACAAGGGGCGCAAGGCGGGUGCAGAAGCGCCGCGGGCGGGAAGACGGCCUUCGGGUUGAAAACCGCUUUCAGCAGGGACGGAGCUUUUUGUGACGGUACCUGAAGAAGAAGCACCGGCUAACUACGUG
RNAcentral lists this ribosomal RNA (465 nucleotides) under uncultured bacterium. RNAcentral describes it as "partial 16S ribosomal RNA". It matches the Rfam family "Bacterial small subunit ribosomal RNA", at positions 28 to 507 of the family's 1533-position model. The record is from RNAcentral.